AGGAGUAUAAAAAUAUGUCAUUUUGGAAUUAGUAACGCGAUAAAAUAAUAUAGCUAUAUAUUCAGUGACAUUCAGUCAUAUCUACACGGAAAAAAAAUUCGACGAAAAAUUCCAAUAUUACUAUCGUAAUCCUGGACUAUACUUUUAUUAUCUGUAACAUUCAAAUAUAUGAUACGAAAAUUUACAGUUUUUAAAAGAUUUUUUACUAUUCACUAUCGUAAUUUCAUUAAGAGUUUAUUGUAAUCAAUUCAAUAAGAAAUAUUACAAUGUUACUAUCGUAAAUAGUAAAAGAAUAAAAAAUAAGAUUUAAUUAUACUAUUUAUUCUUUUAUUCUUCCUUUUAAUUUACAGUGCUGCCUCUAUGUUUUUACAAUACAAGCUACAAAAAUUACGAUAGUUGGAUUGUAAAUUUUCUGAAAUGGUAUAGUAUAUGCCAUCUGAAGCGUUUACGUAUGAAAGACAAGUGUUGUCACAAACCAUGAUGUGAUGCUUGUAUGAGUGUAUAUAUAUAUAUAAAUACAAAUGAUGACAUCUACUUUGUCUGUAUUAUUUGUGGUUCAACUAUAUAUAUUUAUAAAUCAGUUCAUCUUUAUCCACAGUGGAGUGCAGAAAUAGAGGUUAUUAUUCAUGACGUUUUUCGGACAAUUGUAAAUAAGAAAUUUAAAAUAAAAACUGUACUUUCGUCAUUACAAACCUACAUAGAUUGUGGAAUAUAAUAAUUUGGUGGUGAUAAUCUUCAUUUGUCGACAAUGAAUAAUUUUACCCGGCUUUGCGAGAGGUAAAACAUUUCAAUAACCUCAAAUUAUGGACAUUCAACAUUUCUUUAUGAUACUGAAGUUAGCAGACGCCUAAUAAUUUUUGGAUUUUUUUAAAAAUGAUAAAUUAUAGAAAAAAAGUAUUCGAAAAAAUUGCACCUAUGGUUUUUUUAAUUUUCUACAUGUGCGUAUUUUGAAUACAAAUAAAUGAGUUAUUUAUUCAUAAAUUUUAUAUAUACCAAAAAAAUAUGUUUGAAAAAAUAUUAAAUAAAUGUUUUAUUAUUACUACUUCAA
This is a long non-coding RNA of Microplitis mediator, 1048 nucleotides long. RefSeq lists it as uncharacterized. Lineage: Eukaryota; Metazoa; Arthropoda; Insecta; Hymenoptera; Braconidae. The transcript is spliced from 2 exons. The record is from RefSeq and is a predicted model, not a curated record.